This 70-nucleotide transfer RNA is filed under the name Sphingosinicella sp. Its description in RNAcentral is "tRNA-Gln". Lineage: Bacteria; Pseudomonadati; Pseudomonadota; Alphaproteobacteria; Sphingomonadales; Sphingosinicellaceae. The record is from RNAcentral.
CGCAGAAAUCCGUCGGCAAAAACGGAUUCUGAUUCCGUCUAUCGAGGUUCGAAUCCUCGCGGGGCAUCCA